UACGUAGGGGGCAAGCGUUGUCCGGAUUUAUUGGGCGUAAAGAGCGUGUAGGCGGCCAUACAGGUCCGUUGUGAAAACUCGAGGCUCAACCUCGAGACGCCGAUGGAAACCGUAUGGCUAGAGUCCGGAAGAGGAGAGUGGAAUUCCUGGUGUAGCGGUGAAAUGCGCAGAUAUCAGGAAGAACACCCGUGGCUAAGGCGGCUCUCUAGUACGGUACUGACGCUGAGACGCGAAAGCGUGGGGAGCGAACAGG
RNAcentral lists this ribosomal RNA (253 nucleotides) under uncultured bacterium. RNAcentral's name for it is "partial 16S ribosomal RNA". It matches the Rfam family "Bacterial small subunit ribosomal RNA", at positions 524 to 776 of the family's 1533-position model. The record is from RNAcentral.